UAGGGAAUCUUCCACAAUGGACGCAAGUCUGAUGGAGCAACGCCGCGUGAGUGAAGAAGGUUUUCGGAUCGUAAAGCUCUGUUGUUGGUGAAGAAGGAUAGAGGUAGUAACUGGCCUUUAUUUGACGGUAAUCAACCAGAAAGUCACGGCUAACUACGUGCCAGCAGCCGCGGUAAUACGUAGGUGGCAAGCGUUGUCCGGAUUUAUUGGGCGUAAAGCGAGCGCAGGCGGAAGAAUAAGUCUGAUGUGAAAGCCCUCGGCUUAACCGAGGAACUGCAUCGGAAACUGUUUUACUUGAGUGCAGAAGAGGAGAGUGGAAUUCCAUGUGUAGCGGUGGAAUGCGUAGAUAUAUGGAAGAACACCAGUGGCGAAGGCGACUCUCUGGUCUGCAACUGACGCUGAGGCUCGAAAGCAUGGGUAGCGAACAGG
This 429-nucleotide ribosomal RNA is filed under the name bacterium. RNAcentral's name for it is "partial 16S ribosomal RNA". It matches the Rfam family "Bacterial small subunit ribosomal RNA", at positions 355 to 776 of the family's 1533-position model. The record is from RNAcentral.